GCACCUGUAGCUCAGGGGAUAGAGCAACUGUCUUCUAAACAGUAGGUCGCAGGUUCGAAUCCUGCCAGGUGCG
Molecule: transfer RNA, 73 nt
Filed under: Minisyncoccota bacterium
Lineage: Bacteria; Bacillati; Minisyncoccota
Description: tRNA-Arg
Rfam family: tRNA
About the family: Transfer RNA (tRNA) molecules are approximately 80 nucleotides in length.
Source: RNAcentral